Molecule: ribosomal RNA, 253 nt
Filed under: uncultured bacterium
Lineage: Bacteria
Description: partial 16S ribosomal RNA
Rfam family: Bacterial small subunit ribosomal RNA
Source: RNAcentral
UACGUAGGGACCAAGCGUUGUUCGGAUUUACUGGGCGUAAAGGGCGCGUAGGCGGCGCGGUAAGUCACUUGUGAAAUCUCUGAGCUUAACUCAGAACGGCCAAGUGAUACUGCAGUGCUAGAGUGUGGAAGGGGCAAUCGGAAUUCUUGGUGUAGCGGUGAAAUGCGUAGAUAUCGGGAGGAACAUCAGUGGCGAAGGCGGCCAUCUGGACCAACACUGACACUGAGGCACAAAAGCGUGGGUAGCAAACAGG